RNAcentral lists this non-coding RNA (31 nucleotides) under Rattus norvegicus (Norway rat). The record is from RNAcentral. Lineage: Eukaryota; Metazoa; Chordata; Mammalia; Rodentia; Muridae.
UCCAAUGUGCCAAUGGUGGGUUGGUUUCCAC